This 596-nucleotide non-coding RNA is filed under the name Trichomonas vaginalis G3. Its description in RNAcentral is "Eukaryotic small subunit ribosomal RNA". It matches the Rfam family "Eukaryotic small subunit ribosomal RNA", at positions 1 to 675 of the family's 1831-position model. The record is from Rfam by way of RNAcentral. Lineage: Eukaryota; Parabasalia; Trichomonadida; Trichomonadidae.
UACUUGGUUGAUCCUGCCAAGGAAGCACACUUAGGUCAUAGAUUAAGCCAUGCAAGUGUUAGUUCAGGUAACGAAACUGCGAAUAGCUCAUUAAUACGCUCAGAAUCUAUUUGGCGGCGACCAACAGGUCUUAAAUGGAUAGCAGCAGCAACUCUGGUGCUAAUACAUGCGAUUGUUUCUCCAGAUGUGAAUUAUGGAGGAAAAGUUGACCUCAUCAGAGGCACGCCAUUCGACUGAGUGACCUAUCAGCUUGUACUUAGGGUCUUUACCUAGGUAGGCUAUCACGGGUAACGGGCGGUUACCGUCGGACUGCCGGAGAAGGCGCCUGAGAGAUAGCGACUAUAUCCACGGGUAGCAGCAGGCGCGAAACUUUCCCACUCGAGACUUUCGGAGGAGGUAAUGACCAGUUCCAUUGGUGCCUUUUGGUACUGUGGAUAGGGGUACGGUUUUCCACCGUACCGAAACCUAGCAGAGGGCCAGUCUGGUGCCAGCAGCUGCGGUAAUUCCAGCUCUGCGAGUUUGCUCCCAUAUUGUUGCAGUUAAAACGCCCGUAGUCUGAAUUGGCCAGCAAUGGUCGUACGUAUUUUUACGUUCAC